This is a non-coding RNA of Danio rerio (zebrafish), 74 nucleotides long. NCBI's taxonomy places the organism in Eukaryota, Metazoa, Chordata, Actinopteri, Cypriniformes, Danionidae. The record is from Rfam.
GUCUCUGUGGCACAAUCAGUUAGUGCUUUCGGCUGUUAACUGAAAGGUUGGUGGUUCAAGCACACCCAGGGAUG